GCUUGAAUGGCUCAGCUGGUUAGAGCGCCGGUCUCAUAUAUAUGAGUAAGCAUUGCUUACGUAAUCCGGAGAUCAUGAGUUCGAUCCUCAUUUCGAGCA
Molecule: non-coding RNA, 99 nt
Organism: Cytidiella melzeri
Lineage: Eukaryota; Fungi; Basidiomycota; Agaricomycetes; Polyporales; Irpicaceae
Source: the annotation of a GenBank genome assembly